CGGAGUGACUCGAGUGGCGAACGGGUGAGUAACACGUGGGUGAUCUGCCCUGCACUUUGGGAUAAGCCUGGGAAACUGGGUCUAAUACCGAAUAGGACCACGCGCUUCAUGGUGUGUGGUGGAAAGCUUUUGCGGUGUGGGAUGGGCCCGCGGCCUAUCAGCUUGUUGGUGGGGUAAUGGCCUACCAAGGCGACGACGGGUAGCCGGCCUGAGAGGGUGACCGGCCACACUGGGACUGAGAUACGGCCCAGACUCCUACGGGAGGCAGCAGUGGGGAAUAUUGCACAAUGGGCGCAAGCCUGAUGCAGCGACGCCGCGUGAGGGAUGACGGCCUUCGGGUUGUAAACCUCUUUCAGUAGGGACGAAGCGCAAGUGACGGUACCUAUAGAAGAAGGACCGGCCAACUACGUGCCAGCAGCCGCGGUAAUACGUAGGGUCCGAGCGUUGUCCGGAAUUACUGGGCGUAAAGAGCUCGUAGGUGGUUUGUCGCGUUGUUCGUGAAAACUCACAGCUCAACUGUGGGCGUGCGGGCGAUACGGGCAGACUGGAGUACUGCAGGGGAGACUGGAAUUCCUGGUGUAGCGGUGGAAUGCGCAGAUAUCAGGAGGAACACCGGUGGCGAAGGCGGGUCUCUGGGCAGUAACUGACGCUGAGGAGCGAAAGCGUGGGGAGCGAACAGGAUUAGAUACCCUGGUAGUCCACGCCGUAAACGGUGGGUACUAGGUGUGGGUUUCCUUCCUUGGGAUCCGUGCCGUAGCUAACGCAUUAAGUACCCCGCCUGGGGAGUACGGCCGCAAGGCUAAAACUCAAAGAAAUUGACGGGGGCCCGCACAAGCGGCGGAGCAUGUGGAUUAAUUCGAUGCAACGCGAAGAACCUUACCUGGGUUUGACAUGCACAGGACGCCGGCAGAGAUGUCGGUUCCCUUGUGGCCUGUGUGCAGGUGGUGCAUGGCUGUCGUCAGCUCGUGUCGUGAGAUGUUGGGUUAAGUCCCGCAACGAGCGCAACCCUUGUCUCAUGUUGCCAGCACGUUAUGGUGGGGACUCGUGAGAGACUGCCGGGGUCAACUCGGAGGAAGGUGGGGAUGACGUCAAGUCAUCAUGCCCCUUAUGUCCAGGGCUUCACACAUGCUACAAUGGCCGGUACAAAGGGCUGCGAUGCCGUGAGGUGGAGCGAAUCCUUUCAAAGCCGGUCUCAGUUCGGAUCGGGGUCUGCAACUCGACCCCGUGAAGUCGGAGUCGCUAGUAAUCGCAGAUCAGCAACGCUGCGGUGAAUACGUUCCCGGGCCUUGUACACACCGCCCGUCACGUCAUGAAAGUCGGUAACACCCGAAGCCGGUGGC
This 1340-nucleotide ribosomal RNA is filed under the name Mycobacterium sp. NJS-P. Its description in RNAcentral is "bacterial SSU rRNA". It matches the Rfam family "Bacterial small subunit ribosomal RNA", at positions 82 to 1434 of the family's 1533-position model. Lineage: Bacteria; Bacillati; Actinomycetota; Actinomycetes; Mycobacteriales; Mycobacteriaceae. The record is from RNAcentral.